Mus musculus (house mouse) is the source of this 8612-nucleotide RNA transcript. It is a transcript of the gene named calcineurin binding protein 1, with no coding region annotated. Lineage: Eukaryota; Metazoa; Chordata; Mammalia; Rodentia; Muridae. The transcript has 37 exons. The record is from RefSeq and is marked validated.
AGUCUGGGAGCUCCGGCCGUUGCCCUGGAGACGCCGGUCGAGUUCCGGGGAGCAAGGGCUGUGUGUGUCUGCUAAGUGUGCGCACGGCUCCCGUGAGCGCGAGGAGGUGGAACCACGCGAGAAGACCCGCUCUUCCCCUUCCUCCCGGGCGCGGUGGGCCGAAGCCAGGCUCGAGACCCGAAGGCACGGGCGCGGGUCUUCUGCCCACGCUGGCUUCUUCUCGCUUCCCGCAGCCUCGCCCGGUGGCGCCUAGGGUGGGUCACAGUGACCGCAGCUCGAAGCCAUCCCUUUCGGUGCGUCCUUUCGUUCACCUUCACCGCAGCCCAGCGAGGUGGGCCUGAGCACUGUGCCGUUCCGUUCCUGGCUCCUCCUGAACCCUUCUGUCCUGUUUGCUCUGCAGGGGACUGUCGUGUCCCAGGGAUGGGAAGUGAUCCUCCGUGGUGGUGCUGAAUCUCUGAAUAUGAUUCGAAUUGCAGCCUUAAAUGCCAGCUCCACGAUUGAGGAUGACCAUGAAGGAAGCUUCAAAAGUCACAAAAUCCAGACAAAGGAGGCUCAGGAAGCAGAAGCCUUUGCCCUAUACCACAAGGCCCUGGAUCUACAAAAACAUGACAGGUUCGAGGAGUCCGCCAAGGCCUACCACGAGCUUCUGGAGGCUCGCCUGCUGCGGGAGGCAGUGUCAUCCGGAGAUGAGAAGGAAGGGCUGAAACACCCUGGACUGAUACUGAAAUAUUCUACAUAUAAGAACCUGGCCCAGCUGGCGGCCCAGCGAGAGGACCUGGAGACCGCCAUGGAAUUUUAUUUGGAGGCAGUGAUGCUGGAUUCCACAGACGUCAACCUUUGGUACAAAAUUGGACACGUCGCCCUGAGGCUCAUCCGGCUUCCCCUGGCUCGCCAUGCUUUUGAGGAAGGGCUUCGGUGUAACCCUGACCACUGGCCCUGCCUGGACAAUCUCAUCACUGUUUUGUACACCCUCAGUGAUUACACAACAUGUCUUUACUUCAUCUGCAAAGCCCUGGAGAAAGACUGCCGGUACAGCAAAGGCCUGGUCCUCAAGGAGAAGAUUUUUGAAGAGCAGCCUUGUCUCCGAAAGGACUCCCUCCGAAUGUUUCUCAAGUGUGACAUGUCGAUUCACGAUGUGUCAGUGAGUGCAGCAGAGACGCAGGCCAUUGUAGAUGAGGCUCUGGGGCUGCGGAAGAAGAGGCAAGCGUUGAUCGUGCGGGAAAAGGAACCAGACCUGAAACUAGUGCAGCCCAUCCCUUUCUUCACGUGGAAGUGCCUUGGGGAGAGCUUGCUUGCCAUGUACAGUCACCUCACCACCUGUGAGCCCCCGAGGCCCAGCCUUGGGAAGAGGAUUGACCUGUCUGACUACCAGGAUCCCAGCCAGCUGCUAGCAUCCUCUGUAGUGGUUACACCUGUCAGUGUGGUCCAGCCAAGUCCUAUUUGCACCAAUCCAACUGUUGCCGUGGCUGAGCCUGUGCUCUCCUACACCUCUGUGACCGCAGCUAGCUUCCCACUGCACAGUCCCAGCCUGCUGGACACAGGCACUCCUAUGGGUGAUGUUUCUGGAGGAGAUAAGUCUAAGAAAGGGGUAAAGCGUAAGAAGACUGUAGAGGAAAGUGGAGAGACAGCAAAGCGGAGGUCUGCCCGGGUCCGAAACACCAAGUGCAAAAAAGAAGAGAAAGUGGAUUUCCAGGGACUGCUAGUAAAGUUCCUGCCGUCCAGGUUAAGAAAACUGGACCCUGAGGAGGAAGAUGAUCCAUUUAAUAACUAUGAAGUUCAGGCAGAAGCCAAACUGGAGAGCUUCUCCAAUGUGGGACCUCAUCGCCUGUCCUUCGACUCAGCCACAUUCAUGGAAUCUGAGAAGCAGGAUGUGCAUGCGUUCCUGAUGGAGAACCUGACCAACGGGGGCCUCCUGGAGCUUAUGAUGCGUUAUCUGAAGAGCAUGGGCCACAAGUUCCUGCUCAAGUGGCCCCCAGGGCUGGCGGAUGUCGUCCUUAGCGUUUACCACAGCUGGAGGAGGCAUAGCACCAGCCUGCCCAACCCAUUGCUGAGGGACUGCAGCAACAAGCACAUCAAGGACAUGAUGCUGAUGUCUCUCUCCUGCAUGGAGCUCCAACUGGACCAGUGGUUACUGACCAAAGGCAGAAGCUCCGCAGUGUCUCCCCGGAACUGCCCUGCUGGUGUGGUGACAGGCAGGUUUGGGCCUGACUUCCCGGGCACCCACUGCCUGGGUGACCUCCUGCAGCUGUCAUUUGCAUCAUCUCAGCGGGACCUGUUUGAGGAUGGCUGGCUGGAGUUUGUUGUCCGUGUUUACUGGCUGAAGGCACGUUUCUUGGCACUACAGGGAGACAUGGAACAAGCCUUGGAGAACUAUGAUAUCUGCACAGAAAUACUGCAGAGCUCCAGUGCUAUCCAAGCCCAGGCAGGGGCUGAGCAAGGGGACAUAGUCAUCCGGCUGCCCAACCUUCACAAUGACUCCGUUGUCUCUCUGGAGGAAAUUGAUAAGAACCUGAAGUCUCUGGAAAGGUGCCAGUCCCUGGAGGAGAUCCAGCGGCUGUUUGAGGCAGGUGACUACAAGGCUGUGGUGCAUCUGCUCCGGCCCACUUUGUGUACCAGUGGGUUUGACCGAGCCAAACACCUGGAGUUUAUGACGUCCAUUCCUGAGAGGCCAGCCCAGCUGCUUCUGCUGCAGGACUCAUUGCUGCGGCUGAAGGACCACAGACAGUGUUUUGAAUGUUCUGAUGUGGCUCUGAAUGAAGCUGUCCAGCAGAUGCUGAACUCAAGUGAAUCUGCAGCCAAGGAAGAGUGGGUGGCCACAGUGACCCAACUGCUGCUAGGCAUCGAGCAAGCACUGUCGUCAGACAGCAGUGGCAGUAUCCUUAAGGAGUCAUCCUCGACCACUGGCCUUGUCCGCCUCACCAACAACCUCAUUCAGGUCAUCGACUGCAGCAUGGCUGUGCAAGAGGAGCCCAAGGAACCCUAUGUCUCCUCCGUGCUGCCCUGGAUCAUCCUGCACAGGAUCAUCUGGCAGGAGGAAGACACUUUCCGCUCCCUGUGCCACCAGCAGCAGCUCCAGAACCCAACAGAAGAAGGGAUACCGGAGAUGCCCAUGCUCCCAUCUUCCCUCAUGCUACUCAACACAGCACAUGAGUACCUGGGCAGGAGGUCCUGGUGCUGCAAUUCAGAUGGAGCUCUGCUGCGAUUCUAUGUGCAAGUUCUCCAAAAGGAGCUUGCUGCGUCAGCCUCUGAAGACACUCACCCCUACAAGGAGGAGCUGGAGACUGCCUUGGAGCAGUGUUUCUACUGCCUGUACAGCUUCCCCAGCAAGAAGAGCAAGGCCAGGUACCUGGAGGAACACUCAGCCCAGCAGGUGGAUCUUAUAUGGGAGGAUGCCCUGUUUAUGUUUGAGUAUUUUAAGCCCAAGACCCUCCCUGAAUUUGAUAGCUACAAGACAAGCACUGUUUCUGCUGACUUGGCAAACCUGUUGAAGAGAAUUGCUACCAUUGUGCCCCGCACAGAGAAGCCAGCUCUGAGCAUGGACAAAGUCUCUGCCUACAUUGAGGGAACCUCAGCUGAGGCGCCCUGCCUUCCAGAAGGAGCGGACCCCACCCCUCCCGUGCUGAAUGAGCUCUACUACCUCCUGGCUGACUACCAUUUCAAGAACAAGGAGCAGUCUAAAGCCAUCAAGUUCUACAUGCAUGACAUCUGCAUCUGCCCUAACAGGUUUGACUCCUGGGCGGGAAUGGCUCUGGCCCGGGCCAGCCGAAUUCAGGACAAGCUGAACUCAAAUGAGCUGAAGAGUGAUGGGCCCAUCUGGAAACAUGCCACACCUGUUCUCAACUGCUUCCGGAGGGCCCUUGAGAUUGACAGCUCUAAUUUGUCCUUGUGGAUUGAGUAUGGUACCAUGUCCUAUGCCUUACACUCUUUCGCAUCCCGUCAGCUGAAGCAGUGGAGAAGUGAGCUGCCCCCGGAGCUUGUGCAGCAGAUGGAGGAUCGGCGAGACAGCAUGCUGGAGACAGCCAGGCACUGUUUCACGUCUGCAGCCCGCUGUGAGGGCGAUGGUGAUGAGGAGGAGUGGCUCAUUCACUACAUGCUGGGCAAGGUGGCUGAGAAGCAGCAGCAGCCGCCAACUGUGUACCUGCUGCACUACCGGCAGGCUGGCCACUACUUACACGAGGAGGCUGCCCGGUACCCGAAGAAGAUUCACUACCACAACCCACCUGAGCUGGCCAUGGAAGCCCUGGAGGUGUACUUCCGGCUCCAUGCGUCCAUCCUGAAGCUCCUGGGCAAACCUGACUCUGGGGUUGGUGCAGAGGUCCUGGUCAGCUUUAUGAAGGAGGCAGCAGAAGGACCUUUUGCCAGGGGCGAGGAGAAGAAUACGCCCAAAGCUUCAGAAAAGGAGAAGGCCUGCCUGGUGGAUGAGGACUCCCACUCUUCAGCUGGGACACUGCCGGGCCCCGGAGCCUCCCUUCCCUCCUCCUCUGGCCCAGGUCUGACAUCCCCACCUUACACAGCCACUCCGAUUGACCACGAUUACGUCAAAUGUAAAAAACCCCAUCAGCAGGCGGCGCCGGACGACCGAAGCCAGGACAGCACAGCUGUGGCACUGUCAGACUCCAGCUCAACACAGGACUUCUUUAAUGAGCCCACAAGUUUGCUGGAAGGUUCUCGAAAGCUCUUUCCAGAGAAGAGGCUGUCUGGGCUCAGUGCUCAAGCAGGACCAAGUGGUAAAGAUCUUCCGGGGCCCACAGAAGAAAGAGGAAAAACAGAAGAGUCCUUGGAGAGCACAGAGGCCUUCCGGGUUGUAGAACAAAGCGUCCAGAAGCCUGUGGCAGACUCCUCAGCCUCUGCUUACAUCCCCAGCAAGCCCCCAGCGUCCACACCUCCUUUGUGGGAUGGGAAGAAGAGGGGUGAUUCCCUAGGGGAGCCGGUGGCUUUUCCCCAGGGGCUGCCAGCGGGUGCUGAGGAGCAGCGCCAGUUCCUUACAGAGCAGUGCAUCUCCUCCUUCUGCCUGUGCUUGAGCCGCUUCCCACAGCACUACAAGAGUCUCUACCGGCUGGCCUUCCUCUACACCUACAGCAAGACUCACCGGAACCUCCAGUGGGCCCGUGAUGUGUUGCUAGGCAGCAGUAUCCCAUGGCAACAGCUGCAGCACAUGCCGGCACAGGGGCUCUUCUGCGAGAGGAACAAGACCAAUUUCUUCAACGGCAUCUGGCGGAUCCCCGUGGAUGAGAUUGACCGGCCAGGCAGCUUUGCCUGGCACAUGAACCGCUCCAUCGUGCUGCUGCUCAAGGUUCUAGCCCAGCUCCGCGACCACAGCACCCUGUUGAAGGUGUCCUCCAUGCUGCAGCGGACACCAGACCAGGGCAAGAAAUAUCUGCGAGAUGCUGACCGCCAGGUCCUGGCACAGCGCGCCUUCAUCCUCACUGUGAAAGUGUUGGAGGACACACUGAGUGAGCUUGCAGAGGGGUCAGAACACCCAGGAUCCAAGGCCUGCGGCCUCUCUGGAGCCAGGAUGACCACUGAUGUCUCGCACAAAGCCAGUCCCGAGGAUGGCCAGGAAAGCCCCCAACACCCCAAGAAGCUACCUCUAGCUGAUGGCUCAGGACCAGGGCCUGAGCCAGGGGGCAGGAUGGGCCCUCUUAACCAAUUGCCAGUGGUCACAGACAUAAGGGACAACACAGACCAGGGUGGGGAGCAGAAAGACAAAGAGAGUCCCCAGGUGGGGCCCACUGAACCCAUGGAUACCAGUGAGGCUGCUGGUCGCCACUCAGACUUGGAACAGACAUCACGUCUGUUGCCGGGCCGCCCCCCAAGGGACCGGGGCCCUGAGAGCCGGUCUGCUGAGCUUUCCUUAGAGGAGCUGAGUAUCAGCACCCGGCAACAGCCCGCUCCACUGGCCCCAUCCCCAGCAGCCCCCACCACAACUGCUGCUCCCACUACCAUGGCGGCCAGGGGAGCGGGGCACUCUGAGGAGGCACCUCCAAGGCCUAAUCGGAAAAGGAAACUCCUGGAGGACACGGAGUCUGGCAAGACUCUCCUACUGGAUGCCUACCGUGUGUGGCAGCAGGGCCAGAAGGGCAUGGCCUAUGACCUGAGCCGCAUCGAGAAGAUCAUGUCGGAGACUUACAUGCUCAUCAAGCAGGUGGAUGAGGAGACUGCACUGGAGCAGGCUGUGAAGUUCUGUCAGGUCCACCUUGGGGCCGCUACCCAGAGACAGGCCUCAGGAGAUACGCCCACUACCCCCAAGCACCCCAAGGACAGCAGAGAGAAUUUCUUCCCUGCAACAGUGGUCCCCACGGUACCUGACCCCACAGCACCUGAUGCUCUCCAGAGGCCCAGUGACUCCCACCUCAAGCCUGUAUUGGCUACUGUCAUCACCUGCCCUCCCUCAGCUUCAGCCUCUAUCCCAGACCUAUCCACAGAUCCUGGAAUUCCCCGGCCACACAGGCCAGAGACUACCCCCAGCAGGGCCCCUUUAAGUCCUGGUAAGUGCCAUCUCAGUUCACCUGAGCCAAGUCCCCUCUGCCAGGUGCCACAAAUCCUUCCCCUCUAGAAUUGGCAAAGAAGCAUAUGGGGUGCCCUCCAGCACCCCCAGGCUUACCCUGGGGCUAUUGGCUGUUAGUCCAGGUCAUAGUUGCUAGCAAUAUUGGUGGUUCUUGCCCCCUGUGCCUGUCCUGCCUGCACGUGGAAGGACCAGGAGAGGGAGCAUGUACCAUCGCUGAAGGGUUUGCCAUGUCCUAGCCUCUGCCCCAGCAGAGCCCCAAAAUAGGAAAGUUGGCUUUAUCAGUAGUAGAAAGGAAGCCAGUGUAGACCAGGCUGCUAUGGAAGGCUCUGGCCUUGGCAGGCUUUGAGGCCCCAGGUAAUGUCCAGGACCAGAUAUGUUCCCACUGGUGGCAUGACAAGUUGAAGGCAGAGCCAGGUCAAUGGAUCUGUGAAGAAACACAGGAUGGGAUGGAGGUGCACAGGCUGACUCAGUCAGGUGGAAACCCUCAUUUCUUCUGAAGAUCAAGAGCCACCAGGCAGGGUGGCCAGCAUGGCAGGCAGGACGUGUUCUGGAACCUUCCUAGGAGGAAGAAGGCCUCAGUGGGCAAGAUGCCGUCCUCUUCACUGCCGCAGCUACUUCUCUGGCUUUGUGGUUGGUGGUGUCUGACUCUGCCCACCCCCAGGCAUGCUCCCUGUUGACCGUGGGCUGUGACAGACUCUGACAUAACAGCUCACUUUUCCAGCAGAGACUAGUCUUCCACCCUUCCUUCCCUCACCCUGGUUCAGGUCCUGAUCAGUGUCCUAUGCUCCAUAGUUGCGUGGUCACCUGCCCAAACCGGAGCCAUCUGUUAAGGUUCGCCUGUCCUCCCAGCCACAUUGGGAGCUGCCACCUUCAGCCAUGGGACCUUGCCUUUGUCUCCUAUUUCAUCUGCACAGUGGGACAGUGAGCCUCUAUCUGUGCUGCCUGAUUGGAGACUGGGUUGGAAGCGCCCCUCUCAGCUCCUUCUGGGGCUCGGUGCCAGGCACCGGGAUUUUCAGCAGAUGCUCUCCCCAGGUUACCUUGAGGAUUGUGCCAGGUUAGGGACCCAGUCACUCACCAUUUGUUCCAGAGGAACCUCUGAAGGCCACAGGACAGGGCGGUUGGCAGUUGGGCUCAGAGGGAGAAGAGGCAUCAGGAGUGACGGAGGGCACCAGCAUUCUACCCCAAGAACCACGCUACAGUCACCAGAUAAAAAUGGCUGCCACAGGUCACCUGGCUGAGCAACACUGCUGGCCAGUGGAGGUUGCUUGCCAGACAGGAGCUGAGCCCACCUGCAGCCAAGCCUCCAGCACUAAGGUCCCCAGCAGUGGAAGUACUCAGACGGCUGAGAGCCAUCAAGGCAAAACUGAGUCCAGCAGGGCCAAAUCCCGCCUCCUGCCCAACAUGCCAAAGCUGGUGAUCCCCUCGGCCACCACCAAGUCCCCUCCUGAGAUCACCGUCACACCACCUACCCCUACCCUGCUUUCCCCCAAAGGCAGCAUCUCGGAGGAGACCAAGCAGAAGCUGAAGUCAGCCAUCCUGUCUGCCCAAUCCGCUGCCAAUGUGAGGAAGGAGAGCCUGUGCCAGCCAGCCCUGGAGGUUCUGGAGACAUCCAGCCAGGAGUCCUCACUGGAGAGCGAGACAGACGAGGAUGAUGACUUCAUGGACGUAUGAAGGAGUCCACCCAGAGGCCUGCAGCCAUAGCAGGGCAACAGCAAGGCCUGGGAUCCCUUUGUCCAGACCCUGGGCAAGGCCAGAAGCCUAUGUGAGGUAGCGUGUCCUGUGGUCUCCUAAGCUGCCCAGCCCCCUCUUUACAGCACCCUGCCUGGGUCCAGGCUGUCCACACAUUGUGUUGGUCCAGAGGAAGAUAAGGCCUGUCUUAGGCACGUACGUGCACUGGCUGUGUUUUGCGCAGUAGGGAUGGCACUUCUUUUUGUAAUGAAAUACUGACUUUCUUUCCAAGCCCAUGUCCGGCUGAUCAGGCCCACAGCCGAGUGCCCAGGGAGGCCAGCUUGGGUUCUGGUAGAGACAUUAUCAGGAGCCCAGCUCACCCCACACCCUUUUUUUGUCAUUGUUGCUUCUUUUUCUAAUAAAGGUGGAAAAUAGU